Molecule: non-coding RNA, 1008 nt
Organism: Mus caroli (Ryukyu mouse)
Lineage: Eukaryota; Metazoa; Chordata; Mammalia; Rodentia; Muridae
Source: RefSeq, a predicted model, not a curated record
AAGAACCUGUCUUGGGUCUUCAAUUUGUCUAUAGGUGUUCAGAAGGAACUUUCAGGUUGUUAAAAAAAGCUGUGUACUACAGAAAGAAUCACUGUUAUUUGCUUUCUUGUCCAAUGGCCUCCUUUCCUGGUCCCUUCCCUUAGUACAGACACAUCAUAGAAUGUUUGUUUCUCAUUCGUCCCAGGCACAGCACCUUCUGCACCCAGGCUGGAAUCCCACAUCCCAGUUUUCAGAGUUGUGGACUUACUCCUACUGCAUUAACAAAGGCCAUCUCUUUUGUCCUCAAGAAACUGCUCAGAUAGCCAGGCCCAGAAGUGACCAAUAGCUCCACUUUAUCCCAAGGAUUAUGAGGACAUCACCAAGCGAGCAGGCUGCCGCCAUGGAAGCCGAACACAGAAAAGUAUGCACAGCAAUGAUCAGCUGUUCAUGAGAAAUGUCUGCGAGAAGUGGGAGUAAAGGACGCAGUUGUUCUGACCCUGAGUAGGUCCAGAUCUUGUUGAUCAGGACCAGAUUAUCUUACGACCAAGGGAUAACAUGCCAGACAUCCAGUGCCAGUGCUGUCGGAUGCCCUUGGAUUUCCCUAUGUGGGUUAUUUUCUGAGGCCAGACCAACCUUUCUCAGAGCUGCAGUCAAAGGCUCUAUAGCUCAAGAGUUACACAGAUUCUCAUGGUCUGUGUGAAGAUGCCCAACAUCUUUAGCUCUGAUGAUGUCAGGCUUUCAAUGACCCACACAGUUAGUUUUAUCCUUUUCUCCUAUUGAAAUCUAACCACAGACUUCCCCACUGUUAUGACUCACGGUUAGCCUUUCAUUCUACAGUGGUCCAUCUGCCAAUGUCAACUGUGCUGUGGUUUGGCAUGGAAUGUCCCUCAAAGGCUCAUAUGUUGAAGGUUUAAUCUCUAGCUGGUGGUGUUAUUGACUGUGAUCCAUUGAUUUUUAAAAAAAUGCUUUUGUAAUUAGCUCUUUGAGAAUUUUGUACAAUGUUGUAAAUCAUAUUUACCAUUUCCUCAA